This 3956-nucleotide long non-coding RNA is filed under the name Medicago truncatula (barrel medic). RNAcentral describes it as "long non-coding RNA (MTRU_LNC007736)". The record is from RNAcentral. Lineage: Eukaryota; Viridiplantae; Streptophyta; Magnoliopsida; Fabales; Fabaceae.
UAGGGAGGAUGAACUGGUGGAGAGUGGUAAACUGGUUUUGGAGUGUAAGGAGGGUGAACUGGUGGUGGAGGGGAUGAGUAUUUGUAUGGCUUCUUUGGUGGUGGUGGAGAGUGGUAGUAGGGCUUAGGGCUGACGUGAUGCACUGGUGGAGGAGGAGAGGAAUAUUUGUAUGGCUUCUUUGGUGGUGGUGGGGAAUGGUAGUAAGGUUUAGGGCUUAACAUGCACUGGUGGUGGAGGAGAAGAAUAUUUGUAUGGUUUCUUUGGGGGUGGUGGAGAAUGGUAGUAAGGUUUAGGGUGGACAUAUGGUGGAGGAGGAGAAGAAUACUUGUAAGGUUUCUUUGGUGGUGGUGGUGGUGAACUGUAAUGGUAGGGAGGAGGAGGUGUAUAAACGGUGGGGGUGGAGAGUGGUAGUAGUAUGGUUUCUUAGGUGGUGAGUACACUGGUGGUGGUGGUGAAGAGUAAUGGUAAGGUGGUUUAACUGGAGGGUACACCCCCGGUGGUGGGGAAUGUGGAGGGUACACCUUAGGUGGUGGUGGAGAACUAUAAUGGUAAGGUGGUGAGACUGGUGGAUACACCUCAGGUGGUGGUGAAUGUGGAGGGUAUUUCUUAGGUGGUGGUGGGGAAGAGUAAUGGUAAGGUGGUUUAACUGGUGGGUACACCUUGGGUGGUGGUGAAUGUGGAGGGUACACCUUAGGAGGUGGUGGUGAAGAGUAAUGGUAAGGUGGUGAAACUGGAGGAUACACCUUAGGUGGUGGUGAAUGAGGAGGAUACUUCUUAGGUGGUGGUGGUGAAGAGUAAUGGUAAGGUGGUGAAACUGGAGGGUACACCUUAGGUGGUGGUGAAUGUGGAGGGUACACCUUAGGUGGUGGUGGUGAAGGGUAGUGGUAAGGUGGGGAAACUGGAGGGUAGACCUUAGAAGGUGGAGGAGGUGAAGAAUACAAGUAGCUGUUUGCUGAAAUUUGAGAUGUAUGGAGAGAGACACUAUUAUGGCUAAUAGAAGAGUCAAAGUGGCAGAGGCCAUUGGAGACCUCAUUUUUUUUUUUUUGUUCUCUUGUUGCCUUAACCUCACUAGAUAGUGGGAUUUUGAUAUGCUAUAAUGUAACCAAGUGAUGCCCUUUAUAUAGAUCUUUUAUUUACCUACUAGUACUAAUCAUGUUGGUUGGUAACUUUGUUUUCAACUUGUCAAAAUUUUGUUGCCAAUAAGGCGUUGCCGUAUCUUUUUUUAAUUAAAAGUCAAUAAUAUUCAAACACAAGUUUUCAUUAAACAAAAACUAACUUACUUUUCUGAAUAGGUUGAUUUAAUUGGAAAAAAGGGAGGAUAAUUUAUACAAAAAGAGAAGUUGUAUUCCCUAUAUUCGGUAUCAUAAAAAGAAGAGAAACAAUUAUUAAAGCAAAUUUUGGUUAUUUUAUUUUAAUCAAUUUUUUAAAAUUAUUAAAAUGGACAGUGUUUAAUUAAACCAUUUUUUACCUCAAUAUCCCAAGUGAGCUUUGGAGUGCGUAUUUGGAUUUGAUGUAGGCUGCAAGCUUUUAGCAGGAAAUAAAAUAUCUUGAAAUAUCUCAAAAUAAAACAAAAUGGACAGAAAUCCGUAAGUGUAGUUCAGUUGAUAGCUACCAGAGAUAAUGUUUAUAAGGGUUGGGGUUCAAAUCCCAAAUUCCCCACACUAGACUAUUGAAAAAAAAAAAAAAAAAAAAGACAGAAAAUAUAAAAUGUGUUAAAUUGAUGUAGAUUAUUGGAGGUGUUAAAAAAUCAUCAUUGUAUUCUAAUGCCUAAUUUAUCUUCUCCACAUAUCUUUUACUGUUCUUGAAAAAUGCAUGCAUAGAGACCUAACUUCGUGCUAUAUUCGUCUGUCCCUUGAAGACUUUUCAAAAAGACUCGUACACCAGGGCCCAUAUGCAUGGCAUAGCAGCCUCAAUUAUAGGACGAUAAUUUUACGUGAAAUUUUUAUUAUUACUUUAUACAAAUAUUUAUUUAUUUAUUAAAAUUUUACAUAUUUACUUUUUUAAAGUAUAGACAGAAAUUUUUUCAUUUAAGUAAAAUUAAUUUCGAUGUUAUUAAUUCAUUUCCUUUCAUCCUAUCAAAUUAAUGAAUACUAUCCUUGUUGGUAGGCAGAGUCUAGAAUAUUCUAGAUUAGUAUAUACACUUCUAGCUACCUAUCACAAAUUUUGCAUGCAUUUAAAUGAUUUAUCAUGGCAUCGUCUCAGGCUUGGUCCUUUUCAGAUAAAGACAAAAGUUAUGUCUCUGUUUACUUUUAAGCCAAAGUUUUUUUUUACUCUUGUGUAAAGUAAAGUAUAUGACUUUUGAUAUACGGAUAGGAUUCUGGGUUCAAUUGGAUAUAAUUUACCCCGAGGUAUAUAACUAUUUUCUUAUAUUGUUGUUGCUUUUCUAAAACUAUCAAUAAUGAAAGAGAAAUGAUAUUUGUACAACCAUUUUUUAUAAUUUUUAGAUAAAAAUUUCUCUUUCAUAUUCACAUUAUAUUCUUACCCUCUCUCUUCCUUUUUCUCUCUCCUUUGUUUUUAACCAAUGAAAAAAGAGAAAAAGAAGGUUGUCAAAAAGGUUGUACCAAAUGGUUGUUCAAAUAUCAUUGCUCUAAUGGAAAGGUCUUAAUAUCAUCUUUAUUUAGUCUCGUUUUGGAAAAGUGAUUUAAAAUCUGAUCCGAUCAUAACGAUUUUUACAUAAUAACAUAGAAACGCAUAAAAAAAAUAUUCGAUUUUUUAUGAUUUUUUUGUUUUUUGAUCGAUUUGCAGUUUUAUUUUGAAUCGGCUUGUAUUUGAACACCCCUACUUCUUACUCAUCCACACAAGGUAACUCGAAUCAAGGUUGAGAAGAAUAAUUAUUUGUUGAAUCUACCAUUUGUGGUGGACUAAUCUUUUAAAUUUCUCGUAAUAGUUCUUUUUACUUUCAUUCAGGUAUUCCUUAUCUGUUUCUGAUGUAACUUGAUUUUUCUCUUUGCUUCUCUCUAGUAUACUUUGUGUAGGGCAAGAAGUAAAGAGGUUUAGUUAUGGAAAUUCCAUAUUAGCUUUUUUAAAAUAAAAAAAAAUAGAACAAUUUGUUUCACCAUUUAAUUUUUAUAAUUAUAUUAUAAAUAGAGAGAUUAAAGUAAAGUUGACUAAAAAAUUCGAGUAGCUAAUAAGCUCGUACUUCCUCUAAUUCUUAUUAUACGAGAAAAUUUGUUUUUCAGAUUCAUUCACUAAAUAAUGUACCAUGUUUCUAAUAUAAAAUAAAUACAUCAUUUAUUGAAUCUAAAAAAUCAACUUUCUUUGAUAAUUGAGACCCAGGGUAGAACAUGGCAAGGGUUGAUUAUAGAAAAAUGCUAAAGAGUGUCUACACUUAAAAUGGUAAGAAAUUUUGAAAAUCUAUAUAACUAUUGCAUUAGAAAUAAAACUCUUUGACUUUUUAAUGAAUUUCUAAAUUAUAAAUUAUUAAAAAAUGUCAUAGAGACACUUGUUAGCGAUAUGAUCUGUUAUACUCUAUAGGUCGCGUCCUUUUUUUUUUUUUUGACAAGUGGGUCGCGUACCUAUUCUUAAUCAAUCAAAAAUAUGUUGGAUAACAUAUUUAAUUCACCGUUGAACAAGAAUAAUGUUUUUUUAUUUAUUGUAUCAAAGAAUAAUGUAUUUUAUUCACCGUACUAAUAUUAUAAAAAAAAAUAAAAAAAAUCGACCGUCGUUCUUUUAAUUUUUCUGUCCUAAAAAAAUACUCAGUUUAAACGAGCAAGCAUAUAUUUUCAAUAUCUAAUUUUUUUCUCAAUUUAUAUUCCACUCAUAUCAUAUCAUAUAAUAUACUUAUUUUUGGUCAAAAAAAAUAUAAUAUACUUAUUUAUAACAUUAAUCACAUCGUUGACUUAUUUCUUUCUCUUUCAAGAUACUGAGGAGAUUUUCUUUAUAAAAAAAAAAAAAAAAAAAUCCAUAUUGAGGAGAUGUAUGCAUAUGUACACAAAUCAUUAAAAGUGUAAUUGAGU